CAGCAGCCGCGGUAAUACGGAGGGUGCAAGCGUUAAUCGGAAUUACUGGGCGUAAAGCGUGCGUAGGUGGUGGUUUAAGUCCGUUGUGAAAGCCCUGGGCUCAACCUGGGAAUUGCAGUGGAUACUGGGUCACUAGAGUGUGGUAGAGGAUAGUGGAAUUUCCGGUGUAGCAGUGAAAUGCGUAGAGAUCGGAAGGAACAUCUGUGGCGAAGGCGACUAUCUGGGCCAACACUGACACUGAGGCACGAAAGCGUGGGGAGCAAACAGGAUUAGAUACCCGAGUAGUCCCUGUCUCUUAUAA
RNAcentral lists this ribosomal RNA (301 nucleotides) under uncultured bacterium. Its description in RNAcentral is "partial 16S ribosomal RNA". It matches the Rfam family "Bacterial small subunit ribosomal RNA", at positions 509 to 809 of the family's 1533-position model. The record is from RNAcentral.